UUUGUCAGGAGCUGGCCCUGUGCUGUGCCAUCACAGCCACACCAGCCUGGUCAGUCACUGUGUUCAGCCCCUGGUGGAUCUGGUACUUGCUGUGGCACUGGCAGGAGGCACACCACACCCGUUUGUGGCUGACCUGUGGCUGCUUCAUGCCCUGCACACACUUGUAGGGGCUCCCUGGGCUCAAGUGCCCUGGGCAGCUCCUUUGCCUGUUAACAACAGGACAGGACAGUAAAGCCUGUGCCCACAGCUCGGCUCAGCAUCCAGCAACCAAACACUGUCUCUCUUACAAAGACCAUUUCCUUGGCAGUAUGGAAGUACUAACUGUGCCUCAGAGGCAGGUCUAGGAGGAUGCAAAGCCAUCUGCUUUGUAAGACAACUCACUGCCCAAACACAAUCGGUGUGCUUGUUUCUUCUCAAAACACUUCCAAGUUCCUUUUCCAAGCUCUGCCUAACAGAGACCAAUUUUUUCUGCCCAGCCUAUUUAUACCCCAUGGUCUCUGUGGUCUUUUAAUUCCUACCAGAGACUGGAGGCUCCUCCUUGAAGUGAAAAGUUGGAGCAGGCAAGAAGUGAAGGAGAGCCAGGGAUGGGAGCAGGGGUGCUGCUGGCACAACUCACCUGCCUGGCUUCAGCAGAUCUGUGUGGGCCUGGAGAAGACAGAGCACAGGAAAAACACAAAAUCCAGCACAAGGUAUCUGUAGAGUGGUUUGGAUAUUGAGGCAAUGGUGGCAGGAAGAUGUGUGAAGAGGAGUUGCCAGGAGGGUACAAAACUUGGUUAAGUUCUCCAUCUAACGCCUCUGAAGUGGCCAGAAGAGAGUGAGCCGAAGGCAUCAGCAGGAAGUGCCUCAAGGGUGCACUGUGAGGAAAAACCUUGCAAGGGAAGAAGACUUGUAGCAGCCCUGAGGCACAACUGCCUUUACCUGUGGGCUUUCAGGUUUGCAUGUCAGUGCUGGACAGAGGACCUUAAAUCUGGGGGAUUACUUUCAGAUUAACCUGUUGAAGAGCUUGUGGUCCUUGUUGGGAAGUGGGAACUGCCAAAGCAGAACCAACACAGACAAACAGCAGGGAGAGGAGUAAGAGCUGCUUUUUUUCUCACAGGCUAAAAUUGACACAUGACAUCUAGAAAAAUCUUAAAAAUACACUGAGACUGCAAACAUCAUUGGCUUCAACAGGCAGGUUUAUGCCAAAUUUUGUGAGGGUGCAAAAGACUUGUAAGUCACAAUCAAGAAGUUAGGACCUCAGUGUUUCUUUAUUUCCAUGGAGACACAUGGGAGACCUGCACGGGCAUGGCUGGGAGACACUGCUGGGUGGCAGUGCUCUGAUGGCAGCCUAUACUCAGGGAGACCAGAGGUAACCAGUCAAGUUUUAAUAUCAGGGCUUCGUCAGCUACAAUGCUACAUCUCUGGGCAAAUCCCCACAUCAUCUUUACAGUUACUUCCCAAAAAAUGUAACAUUUUUUUCCUGGUGCAUAAGGCUGCUUUAUGUUUUGUCUCCCCAGAACUAUCCUCCUAAAACAUCUUACUGCAGCUCCUAAAGCCUCAUUAAACAAACCUUUGCCCUGCAAGGCUGGAAGACACAGGGAGCCCAGGGACACUGAUAACCCAGUGGUGUGUUGUU
This is a long non-coding RNA of Taeniopygia guttata (zebra finch), 1615 nucleotides long. The record is from Ensembl. NCBI's taxonomy places the organism in Eukaryota, Metazoa, Chordata, Aves, Passeriformes, Estrildidae.